Molecule: ribosomal RNA, 520 nt
Filed under: uncultured bacterium
Lineage: Bacteria
Description: bacterial SSU rRNA
Rfam family: Bacterial small subunit ribosomal RNA
Source: RNAcentral
GGACGAACGCUGGCGGCGUGCCUAAUACAUGCAAGUCGAACGGUCUUUUCUAUGGAAGCUUGCUUCCACUGGGAAGAUAGUGGCGGACGGGUGAGUAACACGUGGGUAACCUGCCCAUAAGAGGGGGAUAACAUCCGGAAACGGGUGCUAAUACCGCAUAGUUUUCUUGAUCGCAUGGUCGAGAAAGGAAAGACGGCCUUUGUGCUGUCGCUUAUGGAUGGACCCGCGGCGUAUUAGUUAGUUGGUGAGGUAACGGCUCACCAAGACGAUGAUACGUAGCCGACCUGAGAGGGUGAUCGGCCACAUUGGGACUGAGACACGGCCCAAACUCCUACGGGAGGCAGCAGUAGGGAAUCUUCCGCAAUGGACGAAAGUCUGACGGAGCAACGCCGCGUGAGUGAAGAAAAGGUUUUCGGAUCGUAAAACUCUGUUGUCAGAGAAGAACAAGUCGGAGAGUAACUGCUCCGGCCUUGACGGUAUCUGACCAGAAAGCCACGGCUAACUACGUGCCAGCCGCAGC